AGAGGUAAAUCUUGAACAUGACUUACAGUAAGAGGAACAACGAGUGGUUCACUUUACCGGUAUAAUCUGAGCAGAAUCUCCUUCAACGCUGGUGAUGCACGUUCAAAACACGCCAUGCUCCGAUGUGUUGAUCCUGUGGGUGGAAUGAACUUCACAUGAAGAUAUGUAUGUAAAAACAGGUUAUUUUUUACUGAUGAGUUGUG
This 203-nucleotide long non-coding RNA is filed under the name Capsicum annuum. Its description in RNAcentral is "long non-coding RNA (CANN_LNC005660)". The record is from RNAcentral. Lineage: Eukaryota; Viridiplantae; Streptophyta; Magnoliopsida; Solanales; Solanaceae.